This 492-nucleotide ribosomal RNA is filed under the name uncultured bacterium. Its description in RNAcentral is "partial 16S ribosomal RNA". It matches the Rfam family "Bacterial small subunit ribosomal RNA", at positions 29 to 507 of the family's 1533-position model. The record is from RNAcentral.
AGUGAACGCCGGCGGUAGGCCUAACACAUGCAAGUCGAACGGCAGCACAGUAAGAGCUUGCUCUUACGGGUGGCGAGUGGCGGACGGGUGAGGAAUACAUCGGAAUCUACUUUUUCGUGGGGGAUAACGUAGGGAAACUUACGCUAAUACCGCAUACGACCUACGGGUGAAAGCAGGGGAUCUUCGGACCUUGCGCGAUUGAAUGAGCCGAUGUCGGAUUAGCUAGUUGGCGGGGUAAAGGCCCACCAAGGCGACGAUCCGUAGCUGGUCUGAGAGGAUGAUCAGCCACACUGGAACUGAGACACGGUCCAGACUCCUACGGGAGGCAGCAGUGGGGAAUAUUGGACAAAGGGCGCAAGCCUGAUCCAGCCAUACCGCGUGGGUGAAGAAGGCCUUCGGGUUGUAAAGCCCUUUUGUUGGGAAAGAAAAACAGCAGGUUAAUACCCCGCUGUUCUGACGGUACCCAAAGAAUAAGCACCGGCUAACUUCGUG